AUGAUGAAAGAUUGUCAUAAGAUAGAUGCUUGCACAGAGGGUGGAAGGUAGAACAUAACUUUGGGUGUUCGGCAGUUACAUUUGUGGCUAACUGGCAAUGGUAGUCCUUCAAAUAGCUUGGUGGAACUCUAUUUCUAUUGGAUCUUCUGAGGAGAAUAUCAGCAUUGUGAUGUUCAUCCUGUGACAGUGACUCAUUUGGCAUGUUAAUGUCAACAGAACUGGAUGCUGGAGAGUUGGAAAGAUGACUCAUUUCCGGUUGACAUGGUAAAU
RNAcentral lists this long non-coding RNA (270 nucleotides) under Phoenix dactylifera (date palm). Its description in RNAcentral is "long non-coding RNA (PDAC_LNC019459)". Lineage: Eukaryota; Viridiplantae; Streptophyta; Magnoliopsida; Arecales; Arecaceae. The record is from RNAcentral.